GGUUCGAUUAUGGCUCAGAUUGAACGCUGGCGGGAUGCUUUACACAUGCAAGUCGAACGGCAGCACGGACUUCGGUCUGGUGGCGAGUGGCGAACGGGUGAGUAAUGUAUCGGAACGUGCCUAGUAGCGGGGGUAACUACGCGAAAGCGUAGCUAAUACCGCAUACGCCCUUCGGGGGGAAAGCGGGGGACCUUCGGGCUUCGCACUAUUAGAGCGGCCGAUAUCGGAUUAGCUAGUUGGUGGGGUAACGGCCACCAAGGCGACGAUCCGUAGCUGGUUUGAGAGGACGACCAGCCACACUGGGACUGAGACACGGCCCAGACUCUACGGAGGCAGCAGUGGGGAAUUUGGACAAUGGGGGAAACCCCUGAUCCAGCCAUCCCGCGUGUGCGAUGAAGGCCUUCGGGUUGUAAAGCACUUUUGGCAGGAAGCAAACGGCACGGGAUAAUACCCCGUGCAACUGACGGUACCUGCAUAAGCACCGCUAACUACGCUGCAGCCGCGGUAAUACGUAGGUGCAAGCGUUAAUCGGAAUUACUGCGUAAAGUGUGCGCAGGCGGUUCGGAAAGAAAGAUGUGAAAUCCCAGAGCUUAACUUUGAAACUGCAUUUUUAACUACCGAGCUAGAGUGUGUCAGAGGGAGGAAUUCCGCGUGUAGCAGUGAAAUGCGUAGAUAUGCGGAGGAACACCGAUGGCGAAGGCAGCCUCCUGGGAUAACACUGACGCUCAUGCACGAAAGCGUGGGGAGCAAACAGGAUUAGAUACCCUGGUAGUCCACGCCCUAAACGAUGUCAACUAGCUGUUGGGGCCUUCGGGCCUGGUAGCGCAGCUAACGCGUGAAGUUGACCGCCUGGGGAGUACGGUCGCAAGAUUAAAACUCAAAGGAAUUGACGGGGACCCGCACAAGCGGUGGAUGAUGUGGAUUAAUUCGAUGCAACGCGAAAAACCUUACCUACCCUUGACAUGUCUGGAAUCCCGAAGAGAUUUGGGAGUGCUCGCAAGAGAACCGGAACAUGUAUGCUGCAUGGCUGUCGUCAGCUCGUGUCGUGAGAUGUUGGGUUAAGUCCCGCAACGAGCGCAACCCCUUGUCAUUAGUUGCUACGAAAGGGCACUCUAAUGAGACUGCCGGUGACAAACCGGAGGAAGGUGGGGAUGACGCCGGGAGCCCUCAUGGCCCUUAUGGGUAGGGCUUCACACGUCAUACAAUGGCCGGGACAGAGGGUCACCAACCCGCGAGGGGGAGCCAAUCCCAGAAACCGAUCGUGGGGUCCGGAUCGCAGUCUGCAACUCGACUGCGUAGUCGGAAUCGCUAGUAAUCGCGGAUCAGCAUGUCGCGGUGAAUACGUUCCCGGGUCUUGUACACUGCCUGUCACACCAUGGGAGUGGGUUUACCAGAAGUAGUUAGCCUAACCGUAAGGAGGGCGAUUACCACGGUAGGAUUCAUGACUGGGGUGAAGUCGUAACAAGGUAG
Molecule: ribosomal RNA, 1470 nt
Filed under: uncultured Bordetella sp.
Lineage: Bacteria; Pseudomonadati; Pseudomonadota; Betaproteobacteria; Burkholderiales; Alcaligenaceae
Description: partial 16S-23S ribosomal RNA intergenic spacer
Rfam family: Bacterial small subunit ribosomal RNA
Source: RNAcentral